AGAGUUUGAUCCUGGCUCAGAUUGAACGCUGGCGGCAUGCCUUACACAUGCAAGUCGAACGGCAGCACGAGAGCUUGCUCUUGGUGGCGAGUGGCGAACGGGUGAGUAAUAUAUCGGAACGUACCCUAGAGUGGGGGAUAACGUAGCGAAAGUUACGCUAAUACCGCAUACGAUCUACGGAUGAAAGUGGGGGAUCGCAAGACCUCAUGCUCAUGGAGCGGCCGAUAUCUGAUUAGCUAGUUGGUGGGGUAAAAGCUCACCAAGGCGACGAUCAGUAGCUGGUCUGAGAGGACGACCAGCCACACUGGAACUGAGACACGGUCCAGACUCCUACGGGAGGCAGCAGUGGGGAAUUUUGGACAAUGGGCGCAAGCCUGAUCCAGCAAUGCCGCGUGAGUGAUGAAGGCCUUCGGGUUGUAAAGCUCUUUUGUCAGGGAAGAAACGGUGGACUCUAAUACAGAUCACUAAUGACGGUACCUGAAGAAUAAGCACCGGCUAACUACGUGCCAGCAGCCGCGGUAAUACGUAGGGUGCAAGCGUUAAUCGGAAUUACUGGGCGUAAAGCGUGCGCAGGCGGUUGUGCAAGACAGAUGUGAAAUCCCCGGGCUCAACCUGGGAAUUGCAUUUGUGACUGCACGGCUAGAGUGUGUCAGAGGGGGGUAGAAUUCCACGUGUAGCAGUGAAAUGCGUAGAGAUGUGGAGGAAUACCGAUGGCGAAGGCAGCCCCCUGGGAUAACACUGACGCUCAUGCACGAAAGCGUGGGGAGCAAACAGGAUUAGAUACCCUGGUAGUCCACGCCCUAAACGAUGUCUACUAGUUGUCGGGUCUUAAUUGACUUGGUAACGCAGCUAACGCGUGAAGUAGACCGCCUGGGGAGUACGGUCGCAAGAUUAAAACUCAAAGGAAUUGACGGGGACCCGCACAAGCGGUGGAUGAUGUGGAUUAAUUCGAUGCAACGCGAAAAACCUUACCUACCCUUGACAUGUCUGGAAUCCUUGAGAGAUCAGGGAGUGCUCGAAAGAGAAUCAGAACACAGGUGCUGCAUGGCUGUCGUCAGCUCGUGUCGUGAGAUGUUGGGUUAAGUCCCGCAACGAGCGCAACCCUUGUCAUUAGUUGCUACGAAAGGGCACUCUAAUGAGACUGCCGGUGACAAACCGGAGGAAGGUGGGGAUGACGUCAAGUCCUCAUGGCCCUUAUGGGUAGGGCUUCACACGUCAUACAAUGGUACAUACAGAGGGCCGCCAACCCGCGAGGGGGAGCUAAUCCCAGAAAGUGUAUCGUAGUCCGGAUUGUAGUCUGCAACUCGACUACAUGAAGUUGGAAUCGCUAGUAAUCGCGGAUCAGCAUGUCGCGGUGAAUACGUUCCCGGGUCUUGUACACACCGCCCGUCACACCAUGGGAGCGGGUUUCACCAGAAGUGGGUAGCCUAACCGCAAGGAGGGCGCUCACCACGGUGGGAUUCGUGACUGGGGUGAAGUCGUAACAAGGUA
RNAcentral lists this ribosomal RNA (1491 nucleotides) under metagenome. RNAcentral's name for it is "bacterial SSU rRNA". It matches the Rfam family "Bacterial small subunit ribosomal RNA". The record is from RNAcentral.